This 447-nucleotide ribosomal RNA is filed under the name uncultured bacterium. RNAcentral describes it as "bacterial SSU rRNA". It matches the Rfam family "Bacterial small subunit ribosomal RNA", at positions 29 to 523 of the family's 1533-position model. The record is from RNAcentral.
AACGAACGCUGGCGGCAGGCCUAAUACAUGCAAGUCGAACGCACCGCAAGGUGAGUGGCAGACGGGUGAGUAACGCGUGGGAACCUUCCUAGUAGUACGGAAUAACUCCGGGAAACCGGUGCUAAUACCGUAUAAGCCCUCCGGGGGAAAGAUUUAUCGCUACUAGAUGGGCCCGCGUCGGAUUAGCUUGUUGGUGAGGUAAUGGCUCACCAAGGCUUCGAUCCGUAGCUGGUCUGAGAGGAUGAUCAGCCACACUGGGACUGAGACACGGCCCAGACUCCUACGGGAGGCAGCAGUAGGGAAUAUUGGACAAUGGGCGAAAGCCUGAUCCAGCCAUGCCGCGUGAGUGAAGAAGGCCUUAGGGUUGUAAAGCUCUUUUGGCGGGGAAGAUAAUGACGGUACCCGCAGAAUAAGCUCCGGCUAACUUCGUGCCAGCAGCCGCUGUAA